GUAAAGCACUUUCAGUCGUGAGGAAGGUAGUGUAGUUAAUAGCUGCAUUAUUUGACGUUAGCGACAGAAGAAGCACCGGCUAACUCCGUGCCAGCAGCCGCGGUAAUACGGAGGGUGCGAGCGUUAAUCGGAAUUACUGGGACGUAAAGCGCAUGCAGGUGGUUUGGUUAAGUCAGAUGUGAAAGGACCCGGGGCGUCAACCUACGGAAUAGCAUUUAGAAACUGGCAGACUAGAGUACUGUAGAGGGGGGUAGGAAUUUCAGGUGUAGCGGUGAAAUGCGUAGAGAUCUGAAGGAAUACCGGUGGCGAAGGCGGCCCCCUGGACAGAUACUGACACUCAGAUGCGAAAGCGUGGGGAGCAAACAGGAUUAGAUACCCUGGUAG
This 384-nucleotide ribosomal RNA is filed under the name uncultured bacterium. RNAcentral describes it as "bacterial SSU rRNA". It matches the Rfam family "Bacterial small subunit ribosomal RNA", at positions 425 to 793 of the family's 1533-position model. The record is from RNAcentral.